CCUACGGGUGGCAGCAGUGAGGAAUAUUGGUCAAUGGACGAGAGUCUGAACCAGCCAAGUAGCGUGAAGGAUGACUGCCCUAUGGGUUGUAAACUUCUUUUAUAUGGGAAUAAAAUGUUCCACGUGUGGGAUUUUGUAUGUCCCUUAUGAUUAAGGAUCGGCUAACUCCGUGCAAGCAGCCGCGGUAAUACGGAGGGUCCGAGCGUUGUCCGGAUUUAUUGGGUUUAAAGGGAGCGUAGGUGGAUUGUUAAGCCAGUUGUGAAAGAUUGCGGCUCAACCGUAAAAUUGCAGUUGAAACUGGCAGGCUGGAGUACAGUAGAGGUGGGCGGAAUUCGUGGUGUAGCGGUGAAAUGCUUAGAUAUCACGAAGAACACCGAUUGCGAAGGCAGCUCACUGGACUGCAACUGACACUGAGGCUCGAAAGUGUGGGUAUCAAACAGGAUUAGAUACCCCUGUAGUC
RNAcentral lists this ribosomal RNA (460 nucleotides) under uncultured bacterium. RNAcentral describes it as "partial 16S ribosomal RNA". It matches the Rfam family "Bacterial small subunit ribosomal RNA", at positions 338 to 795 of the family's 1533-position model. The record is from RNAcentral.